GGAAUAGGACGUGUGGUUCUAUUUUGUUGGUUUCUAGGACCGCCGUAAUGAUUAAUAGGGACAGUCGGGGGCAUCAGUAUUCAGUUGUCAGAGGUGAGAUUCUUGGAUUUAUUGAAGACUAACUACUGCGAAAGCAUUUGCCAAGGAUGUUUUCAUUAAUCAGGAACGAAAGUUUGGGGAUCGAAGACGAUCAGAUACCGUCGUAGUCUUAACCAUAAACUAUGCCGACUAGGGAUCGGACGAUGUUAUUUUUUGACGCGUUCGGCACCUUACGAGAAAUCAAAGUGCUUGGGCUCCAGGGGGAGUAUGGUCGCAAGGCUGAAACAUAAAGAAAUUGACGGAAGGGCACCACCAGGGGUGGAGCCUGCGGCUUAAUUUGACUCAACACGGGGAAACUCACCAGGUCCAGACACAAUGAGGAUUGACAGAUUGAGAGCUCUUUCUUGAUUUUGUGGGUGGUGGUGCAUGGCCGUUCUUAGUUGGUGGAGUGAUUUGUCUGCUUAAUUGCGAUAACGAACGAGACCUUAACCUGCUAAAUAGACCGUAUUGCUUUGGCAGUACGCCGUCUUCUUAGAGGGACUAUCGGCUCAAGCCGAUGGAAGUUUGAGGCAAUAACAGGUCUGUGAUGCCCUUAGAUGUUCUGGGCCGCACGCGCGCUACACUGACGGAGCCAGCGAGUACUCCCUUGGCCGGAAGGCCCGGGUAAUCUGUAUAGCU
Molecule: ribosomal RNA, 717 nt
Filed under: uncultured fungus
Lineage: Eukaryota; Fungi
Description: SSU rRNA
Rfam family: Eukaryotic small subunit ribosomal RNA
Source: RNAcentral